RNAcentral lists this ribosomal RNA (393 nucleotides) under uncultured bacterium. RNAcentral's name for it is "partial 16S ribosomal RNA". It matches the Rfam family "Bacterial small subunit ribosomal RNA", at positions 523 to 918 of the family's 1533-position model. The record is from RNAcentral.
AUACGGAGGAUGCGAGCGUUAUCCGGAUUUAUUGGGUUUAACGGGAGCGUAGGUGGGAUAUUAAGUCAGCUGUGAAAGUUUGGGGCUCAACCUUAAAAUUGCAGUUGAUACUGGUUUCCUUGAGUACGGUACAGGUGGGCGGAAUUCGUGGUGUAGCGGUGAAAUGCUUAGAUAUCACGAAGAACUCCGAUCGCGAAGGCAGCUCACCGGGCCGGAACUGACACUGAUGCUCGAGAGUGCUGGUAUCAAACAGGAUUAGAUACCCUGGUAGUCCGCACAGUAAACGAUUAAUACUCGCUGUUUGCGAUACACCGUAAGCGGCCAAGCGAAAGCGUUAAGUAUUCCACCUGGGGAGUACGCCGGCAACGGUGAAACUCAAAUGAAUUGACGGGG